Molecule: long non-coding RNA, 278 nt
Organism: Hibiscus syriacus
Lineage: Eukaryota; Viridiplantae; Streptophyta; Magnoliopsida; Malvales; Malvaceae
Exons: 3
Source: RefSeq, a predicted model, not a curated record
ACCAAAUUCUGGUGGCAGUGGAUUUGGCCUUGCAAUUUGCAAGAGGUUUGUAAAUCUAAUGGAGGGACAUAUUUGGAUUGAGAGUGAAGGUCUUGGUAAGGGAUCUACUGCUAUCUUCAUGGUAAAAAUCGGCAGCAUCCCAGAACGGUUGAAUGAAUCCAAACUUGUUUUCAUGCCUAAAGUACCACCAAAUCAUGGUCCAACAGCUUUUCCUGGGCUUAAAGUUUUGGUUAUGGAUGAGAAUGGGGUUAGCCGGAAGGUGACCAAGGGGCAUCUUG